AAAUUCUCAUCAUUUGAGAAGGCUGGACAGCUCCCUCCUCCUAAUAUGCAAUCUGCACAGCUAGUUGUCACUCAGCAAGCAUUGAGGUUAUCUGUCUGGUGUAUUUCUGGCAUGUCAGCGCACAACUGUAUUUUUCCACCUUUAACAGAGUUUGACGUCUCUACAGUGUGAAUAUUACCAACGUGAAUAUUGCCAGAGGAGAAUGUUUCAACAUGGAAGACUGGAACUUGUGCCUAAUAAGGAAAGGCACAGAUAAGAAGUCUGCAGAUAAUAAUACAGAGGUGUUUAAUUUAAUUGAUCAGUGGCUAUAGUUUAAUAAAUAUAAAAUGUUUGCUUUACCAAUAUAAAAGAAUGAAGUUUCUUGUGUUCAGAGACAAGAACUUUAUUGCUUAG
Molecule: long non-coding RNA, 393 nt
Organism: Protopterus annectens (West African lungfish)
Lineage: Eukaryota; Metazoa; Chordata; Ceratodontiformes; Protopteridae
Exons: 3
Source: RefSeq, a predicted model, not a curated record